UUGAAGGCGUAGAGACUGAAGUCCUCUCUAUCCACAGAACAGGUAUGGCACAGGCGGUGGCCCUGCAGCUUGCCACCGUCCCAGCAAUGUGCCUCACUCCUAGCAGAGGGAGACUGUGUCACGGGGAAGAGGGCUGUUCAGUCUCCAUGCCCUUCACUCUUGGGCUGUU
Molecule: unclassified non-coding RNA, 169 nt
Organism: Panthera pardus (leopard)
Lineage: Eukaryota; Metazoa; Chordata; Mammalia; Carnivora; Felidae
Source: Ensembl